GUAUUAAUGGGGUAGUGGUAACCUGGGUCGUUGCCAUAUCCCGUCUGAAAAGGUCUCUCGACCCGCCGGAGGUUCGAUUCCUUCUUAAUGCA
Mycena floridula is the source of this 92-nucleotide non-coding RNA. The record is from the annotation of a GenBank genome assembly. Lineage: Eukaryota; Fungi; Basidiomycota; Agaricomycetes; Agaricales; Mycenaceae.